GUAAACCUCUUUCAGCAGGGAAGAAGCGCAAGUGACGGUACCUGCAGAAGAAGCACCGGCUAACUACGUGCCAGCAGCCGCGGUAAUACGUAGGGUGCGAGCGUUGUCCGGAAUUAUUGGGCGUAAAGAGCUCGUAGGCGGCCUGUCGCGUCGGAUGUGAAAGCCCGGGGCUUAACCCCGGGUCUGCAUUCGAUACGGGCAGGCUAGAGUGUGGUAGGGGAGAUCGGAAUUCCUGGUGUAGCGGUGAAAUGCGCAGAUAUCAGGAGGAACACCGGUGGCGAAGGCGGAUCUCUGGGCCAUUACUGACGCUGAGGAGCGAAAGCGUGGGGAGCGAACAGGAUUAGAUACCCUGGUAGUCCACGCCGUAAACGUUGGGAACUAGGUGUUGGCGACAUUCCACGUCGUCGGUGCCGCAGCUAACGCAUUAAGUUCCCCGCCUGGGGAGUACGGCCGCAAGGCUAAAACUCAAAGGAAUUGACGGGGGCCCGCACAAGCAGCGGAGCAUGUGGCUUAAUUCGACGCAACGCGAAGAACCUUACCAAGGCUUG
This 548-nucleotide ribosomal RNA is filed under the name Streptomyces novaecaesareae. Its description in RNAcentral is "bacterial SSU rRNA". It matches the Rfam family "Bacterial small subunit ribosomal RNA", at positions 425 to 983 of the family's 1533-position model. The record is from RNAcentral. Lineage: Bacteria; Bacillati; Actinomycetota; Actinomycetes; Kitasatosporales; Streptomycetaceae.